RNAcentral lists this transfer RNA (67 nucleotides) under Goniurosaurus liboensis. Its description in RNAcentral is "tRNA-Arg". The record is from RNAcentral. Lineage: Eukaryota; Metazoa; Chordata; Lepidosauria; Squamata; Eublepharidae.
AAGUAAUUAGUCUAUCUAAGACAAUUGAUUUCGACUCAAUAAAACCUGGUUCCCCUAGGAUUACUAA